AUUUCCAGGUGUUUCCAUGAGAACUGGUCUGUAAAUGUCCAGGUCUUCCAGGACGAGUGGGAACUCUGUUAAAGACAGAAGGAGGGUCGGUCCACCUCCUCUUAGUGACAUUCACUGGUUCACAGACGAGAGCAGCUUCUGAACGACCACGCCUACUUCUGCUCUAACCAACCCUAGUUAAUGACAGACAGUCAGUGAGUGUGUCUGUGUCCAACUCUUCCUCACAGGUUAGUUAAUGAUGUUACUGAGUCAAUGUGAGCAGAUUGUGUCUGUAGAUUGAAGAGAAUCAGAGUCUCACUGAUGGUGGAAAUAAAGGUUUUACUUCCUUAAAACA
Long non-coding RNA from Dicentrarchus labrax (European seabass), 334 nucleotides. RefSeq lists it as uncharacterized. NCBI's taxonomy places the organism in Eukaryota, Metazoa, Chordata, Actinopteri, Moronidae. The transcript has 2 exons. The record is from RefSeq and is a predicted model, not a curated record.